This 385-nucleotide ribosomal RNA is filed under the name uncultured bacterium. RNAcentral's name for it is "bacterial SSU rRNA". It matches the Rfam family "Bacterial small subunit ribosomal RNA", at positions 370 to 772 of the family's 1533-position model. The record is from RNAcentral.
AAUGGGCGCAAGCCUGAUCCAGCCAUGCCGCGUGAGUGAUGAAGGCCUUAGGGUUGUAAAGCUCUUUCGCCGGUGAAGAUAAUGACGGUAACCGGAGAAGAAGCCCCGGCUAACUUCGUGCCAGCAGCCGCGGUAAUACGAAGGGGGCUAGCGUUGCUCGGAAUCACUGGGCGUAAAGCGCACGUAGGCGGAUCGUUAAGUCAGGGGUGAAAUCCUGGGGCUCAACCUCAGAACUGCCCUUGAUACUGGCGAUCUCGAGUUCGAGAGAGGUUGGUGGAACUCCGAGUGUAGAGGUGAAAUUCGUAGAUAUUCGGAAGAACACCAGUGGCGAAGGCGGCCAACUGGCUCGAUACUGACGCUGAGGUGCGAAAGCGUGGGGAGCAAA